Molecule: ribosomal RNA, 450 nt
Filed under: uncultured bacterium
Lineage: Bacteria
Description: partial 16S ribosomal RNA
Rfam family: Bacterial small subunit ribosomal RNA
Source: RNAcentral
GUGGGGAAUUUUGGACAAUGGGCGCAAGCCUGAUCCAGCAAUGCCGCGUGCAGGAAGAAGGCCUUCGGGUUGUAAACUGCUUUUGUACGGAACGAAACGGUCCUGGCUAAUAUCCGGGGCUAAUGACGGUACCGUAAGAAUAAGCACCGGCUAACUACGUGCCAGCAGCCGCGGUAAUACGUAGGGUGCGAGCGUUAAUCGGAAUUACUGGGCGUAAAGCGUGCGCAGGCGGUGCUGUAAGACAGGCGUGAAAUCCCCGGGCUCAACCUGGGAAUUGCGCUUGGGACUGCAGUGCUGGAGUGCGGCAGAGGGGGAUGGAAUUCCGCGUGUAGCAGUGAAAUGCGUAGAUAUGCGGAGGAACACCGAUGGCGAAGGCAAUCCCCUGGGCCUGCACUGACGCUCAUGCACGAAAGCGUGGGGAGCAAACAGGAUUAGAUACCCGUGUAGUCC